UACGUAGGGGGCAAGCGUUGUCCGGAUUUAUUGGGCGUAAAGAGCGUGUAGGCGGCCAGGUAGGUCUGCUGUGAAAACUCGAGGCUUAACCUCGAGCUGUCGGCGGAAACCAUCUGGCUAGAGUCCGGGAGAGGAGAAUGGAAUUCCCGGUGUAGCGGUGAAAUGCGUAGAUAUCGGAAGGAACAUCAGUGGCGAAAGCGGCUUCCUGGACCAGCACCGACGUUCAGGCACGAAAGCGUGGGGAGCAAACAGG
This 253-nucleotide ribosomal RNA is filed under the name uncultured bacterium. Its description in RNAcentral is "partial 16S ribosomal RNA". It matches the Rfam family "Bacterial small subunit ribosomal RNA", at positions 524 to 776 of the family's 1533-position model. The record is from RNAcentral.